CGGCCGCGUCGACUAAAGGCUGUGGCUUAACCAUAGUACGCUUUGGAAACUGUUUAACUUGAGUGCAGAAGGGGAGAGUGGAAUUCCAUGUGUAGCGGUGAAAUGCGUAGAUAUAUGGAGGAACACCGGUGGCGAAAGCGGCUCUCUGGUCUGUAACUGACACUCAGGGACGAAAGCUAGGGGAGCGAAUGGGAUUAGAUACCCCAGUAGUCCUAGCCGUAAACGAUGGAUACUAGGUGUUGUCUGUAUCGACCCGGACAGUGCCGUAGCUAACGCGUUAAGUAUCCCGCCUGGGGAGUACGCACGCAAGUGUGAAACUCAAAGGAAUUGACGGGGCCCGCACAAGCGGUGGAGUAUGUGGUUUAAUUCGAUGCAACGCGAAGAACCUUACCAGGACUUGACAUGUCGCGAAUCCAG
Molecule: ribosomal RNA, 417 nt
Filed under: uncultured bacterium
Lineage: Bacteria
Description: bacterial SSU rRNA
Rfam family: Bacterial small subunit ribosomal RNA
Source: RNAcentral